Molecule: long non-coding RNA, 847 nt
Organism: Cyprinus carpio carpio
Lineage: Eukaryota; Metazoa; Chordata; Actinopteri; Cypriniformes; Cyprinidae
Source: Ensembl
AAAAUACCAUAUAAUAUGCAUAAUAAAAGAAUUUUGUUGUCUAAAUCUGUUUGUAUUAUAACAGUAUUUUACAUCAAAAUACAUUAUUAUUGCUAUUUUAAACAUUCUGAUAUUCUUACAAUACACACACACACACACACACACACACACGUAUAUUAAUUGUAAGUGUGUUUUUAAAAUUAUUUGGUUAAGCAGCAUAUAAUUCUCUGAAUGUAUGAUUGUAUAAAAAAAAUCUUUAAAUCACACUAAUGGAUGACACAAAAUAUUAAUAAUAAUAUAUAACAAUUAUGUUAGCAAAGAACAUGUUACAUUUCCAGGUCUGUAUUGUCUGGAAUAUGUUUUGUUCCAGCACACCUGCGUAUGAUUUUCCAGACUUUGAUUAGCUGCUUCAGGUGUGUUUGAUUAGAGUUGGACGUAAACUCUGCAGGAAGGUAGAUCUCAGUAGCAACCCUGGUUUAAACAAUUAAAGGCCUUAAUGGAAAAGGCCUGUGGAAUGUUUGGAUAAUGAACUCUUGGAAAGGGUGUAAUUGGUGUCAGGUGUUCCAGUCAGUUCAGGUGUAACACCCCACCAUAAACAUAACUGCACAAUAUUAAUUCCCUGCUGUUCAAAAGGAAUAUGAAAAGACCUAUGAAAAAUAUUUCAAAAGGGUUGAGAAGACAUGUUGGCCUUCAUCAGUCUGCUGUGGUUUAUCUCAUCAGGAGGACAAUGAGCGGAUAUUGUACCGAGAAGUUAUUGAGAUUCAUAAAUCCAUUGAAGAACUGGAGCUUGGAGCUUGAAAGAUGCUUGGAAGAAGCUUACCUGCAAACCUUCUUGGACAAAGGGUGCUCAUACGAAAUAUUGAUUUAA